GUUGACCUCGGAUCAGGUAGGGAUACCCGCUGAACUUAAGCAUAUCAAUAAGCGGAGGAAAAGAAACCAACAGGGAUUACCUCAGUAACGGCGAGUGAAGCGGUAACAGCUCAAAUUUGAAAUCUGGGUCUUUCAGGCUCCGAGUUGUAAUUUGUAGAAGAUGCUUCGGGUGCGGCUCCGGUCUAAGUUCCUUGGAACAGGACGUCAUAGAGGGUGAGAAUCCCGUAUGUGAUCGGUUGCUUGCGCCCAUGUGAAGCUCUUUCGACGAGUCGAGUUGUUUGGGAAUGCAGCUCAAAAUGGGUGGUAAAUUUCAUCUAAAGCUAAAUAUUGGCCAGAGACCGAUAGCGCACAAGUAGAGUGAUCGAAAGAUGAAAAGCACUUUGGAAAGAGAGUUAAACAGUACGUGAAAUUGUUGAAAGGGAAGCGCUUGCAACCAGACUUGCGCGUUGCCGAUCAUCUGGGGUUCUCCCCAGUGCACUCGGCCUCGCUCAGGCCAGCAUCGGUUUCGGUGGUGGGAUAAAGGCCUUGGGAAUGUAGCUUCUUUCGGGGAGUGUUAUAGCCCUCGGUGCAAUGCCGCCUACCGGGACCGAGGACCGCGCUUCGGCUAGGAUGCUGGCGUAAUGGUUGUAAGCGACCCGUCUUGAAACACGGACCAAGGAGUCUAACAUCUAUGCGAGUGUUUGGGUGUCAAACCCAUACGCGUAAUGAAAGUGAACGGAGGUGAGAACCCUUAAGGGUGCAUCAUCGACCGAUCCUGAUGUCUUCGGAUGGAUUUGAGUAAGAGCAUAGCUGUUGGGACCCGAAAGAUGGUGAACUAUGCCUGAAUAGGGUGAAGCCAGAGGAAACUCUGGUGGAGGCUCGCAGCGGUUCUGACGUGCAAAUCGAUCGUCAAAUUUGGGUAUAGGGGCGAAAGACUAAUCGAACCAUCUAGUAGCUGGUUCCUGC
This 945-nucleotide ribosomal RNA is filed under the name Coleophoma cylindrospora. RNAcentral's name for it is "eukaryotic LSU rRNA". It matches the Rfam family "Eukaryotic large subunit ribosomal RNA", at positions 1 to 961 of the family's 3401-position model. The record is from RNAcentral. Lineage: Eukaryota; Fungi; Ascomycota; Leotiomycetes; Helotiales; Dermateaceae.